RNAcentral lists this ribosomal RNA (440 nucleotides) under uncultured bacterium. Its description in RNAcentral is "partial 16S ribosomal RNA". It matches the Rfam family "Bacterial small subunit ribosomal RNA", at positions 338 to 795 of the family's 1533-position model. The record is from RNAcentral.
CCUACGGGAGGCAGCAGUGGGGAAUAUUGCACAAUGGGGGAAACCCUGAUGGAGCGACGCCGCGUGAGCGAUGAAGUAUUUCGGUAUGUAAAGCUCUAUCAGCAGGGAAGAAAAUGACGGUACCUAACUAAGAAGCCCCGGCUAACUACGUGCCAGCAGCCGCGGGAAUACGUAGGGGGCAAGCGUUCUCCGGAUUUACUGGGUGUAACGGGAGCGUAGACGGUUGUGCAAGCCAGAUGUGAAGGCCCGGGGCUCAACCCCGGGACUGCAUUUGGAACUGUGUGGCUGGAGUGUCGGAGAGGCAGGCGGAAUUCCUAGUGUAGCGGUGAAAUGCGUAGAUAUUAGGAGGAACACCAGUGGCGAAGGCGGCCUGCUGGACGAUAACUGACGUUGAGGCUCGAAAGCGUGGGGAGCAAACAGGAUUAGAUACCCUAGUAGUC